This 776-nucleotide long non-coding RNA is filed under the name Mytilus galloprovincialis (Mediterranean mussel). The record is from RNAcentral. Lineage: Eukaryota; Metazoa; Mollusca; Bivalvia; Mytilida; Mytilidae.
AAUCAUGAAAUGGUAAAAAAAAAAACACAUUCUCAAUGUUCUGUUAUUAAAUGGAAUAGAUUAUUUUUAGUGUGUCUUUCUAUGUUGUGAUGUUACACUAUUGUUUCAGGUGAAACUUUUAAACCCUCUGCAUUUUUUUGCACCUGUCCUAGGUCAGGAAACUGAUGUUAAGUGGCUGUCGUUUGUGGUUCAUAAGUGUUUUUCUUUCUUCAUAUAGAUUAGUUUGAAUGGUUUUACACUUGUCAUUUUUGAAGCCUUUUAUAGUUUGCUGUUCGGUAUGAGCCAAAGCUCUGUGUUGAAGGCCGUACCUUGACCUAUAAUGGUUUACUUUUUAUAAAUUGUUAUUUGGAUUGAGAGUUGUCUCAUUGGCACUCAUACCACAUCUUCUUAUUUCUGUUGUCUUUUCUUCUGGCUUUGAAAAGAUAAAGAUUUGAUUCUGUCCUCAGGUUUUAUUGGUCACUGACUGGAUAAAACCAUUUCUGCUUCAUUGAUUUUUUUUUAAGGUUGUUUAAGGUCAAUAUGAAUCCCUUUAGUGGUUAAUACAAUUUUGACUAUAAAAUAUAUUUUUUUCAAUAGCUGCUAAAGCUCUGGUAACUAGAAUGCCUAUAUCCCUCACUUUACCUACAUGUACAAUGGAUGCUUGGAUACUAGGCCAUACACAACAAAAUGUAUGACAAAUGCUACACUUACACUUUUAUACACUGAUUAAUAAUUAACAAUGGCUUUUAAGCAUAUAACAGUAUUAUUGUGAAUAGAAUACCCUUUUUUUAAUAAUA